This 916-nucleotide long non-coding RNA is filed under the name Homo sapiens (human). RNAcentral describes it as "HSALNT0305726". The record is from RNAcentral. Lineage: Eukaryota; Metazoa; Chordata; Mammalia; Primates; Hominidae.
GCAGCCCGGCAGCCACUACACACGGACCCGUGACGUCGGGCGUAGCGCGGCGCACGUCACGGCCGCUCGCUCGUGCGCGCGCACCCCUCCGCCCGGCGGUAGCGGAACCCGCCGCGGGCGCGCGCCCGGCCCAGGGGAGUGGGUCGGCGCCUGCGCAGAGGCCCGCCACGCCCACACACAGGCCACCGCCCCCACCGGCCGGACGGCGCGGGGAUUCCCAGUCCUGGCUCCGCCCCGGCCUCGGCCCCGCCCCCGCCCCUGCCCCGGGGCAGCCUGUGCUGUUCCGUGUGCGCGGCGCAUACGCACCUGGGUUGUCUCGAGCCUGCGGUAGUGGCCAGAUCCCAGACAUCCGAGUAGAUCCCGUGAAAAGCUUCUUCUUGGUUUCUUCGUACAUUCUGGAUCCACCCCUUUCAUGCAUAUUCCAGACCACAUUUCCACUGGAGCAGUUGAAAUGAGAGAGAUGGGAAUGGGACUCACCCGAACCAGAGGAAUUUUUAUUACAGACCCAUUAACAGAGGUGUCAAAGUCACAGGAACAAGGAUGUGCACCUCAGAAACACAGAGAAAGACCUUAAAUGCUCUGGGGGAUACGGACUGAAGAGGUGUUGAGAGGUAACUGCAUACCUCUCACUUCUCAGGAACUGCCAGUUCCCUGGGCAGAAUCAGGACCUGGGACAGACCUGCCUGCUGAUGAGAUGGCCCCACACCAUCUGCAGGCCAGAUUUGGUGCUGUGGACAAUGUCGGAGGGGACAGUCUACAGGACAGCCAACGGCUUUCAAAAAUUCUGAUAUGAUCAACUGGUGACACUACUCAGAAGACUGUGUUAAGAAUUCCGAAUUGGGGCCGGGCAAGGUGGCUCAUGCCUGUAAUCCCAGCACUUUGGGAGGCCAAAGCAGGUGGAUUGCUUGAGCCUAGG